UACAGAGGUGGCAAGCGUUGUUCGGAAUUACUGGGCGUAAAGGGCGCGUAGGCGGCCUUCUAAGUCAGACGUGAAAUCCCCCGGCUUAACCUGGGAACUGCGUCUGAUACUGGGAGGCUAGAGUGCGGGAGAGGGAUGCGGAAUUCCAGGUGUAGCGGUGAAAUGCGCAGAUAUCAGGAGGAACACCGGUGGCGAAGGCGGUUCUCUGGGCCUUACCUGACGCUGAGGAGCGAAAGCGUGGGGAGCAAACAGG
This 253-nucleotide ribosomal RNA is filed under the name uncultured bacterium. RNAcentral describes it as "partial 16S ribosomal RNA". It matches the Rfam family "Bacterial small subunit ribosomal RNA", at positions 524 to 776 of the family's 1533-position model. The record is from RNAcentral.